Molecule: ribosomal RNA, 300 nt
Filed under: uncultured Pyrobaculum sp.
Lineage: Archaea; Thermoproteati; Thermoproteota; Thermoprotei; Thermoproteales; Thermoproteaceae
Description: bacterial SSU rRNA
Rfam family: Bacterial small subunit ribosomal RNA (bases 59-300)
Source: RNAcentral
GGGAAGCGCGGGCCGAGGGGCGCGGGAAUGCGGGGGGGGGAAUGGUUGUUCGGGAAUGCUGGGCGUAAAGGGCGCGGAGGCGGCCUUCUAAGGCGUGCGUGAAAUCCCCCGGGUCAACCGGGGAACUGCGUUCGAUACUGGAAGGCUUGAAUCCGGGAGAGGGAUGUGGAAUUCCAGGUGUAGCGGUGAAAUGCGUAGAUAUCUGGAGGAACACCGGUGGCGAAGGCGGCAUCCUGGACCGGCAUUGACGCUGAGGCGCGAAAGCUAGGGGAGCAAACGGGAUUAGAUACCCUUGUAGUC